GAUGAACGCUGGCGGCGUGCCUAACACAUGCAAGUCGAGCGAACAGACGAGGAGUUUGCUCCUCUCACGUUUGCCGCGCACGGGUGUGAAACACGUGGAUAACCUCCCUAUCUGACUGGGAUAACCUCGGGACUCCGGAGCUAAUACCGGAUAAUCUACUGCACCGCAUGGUUCAAUAGUGAAAGUCGGUUUUGCUGUCUCUUAUAGAUGGAUCCGCGCCGCAUUAGCUAGUUGGUAAGGUAACGGCCUAUCAAGGCAACUAUGCGUAGCCGACGUGACAGGGUGAUCGGCCGCACGGGAAGUGGGACACGGUCCAGGGUCCUACGGGAGGGAGCAGAAGGGAACCUGCCGCAAUGGGGGGGAGCCUGACGGAGCAAGGCGGCGUGAGUGAUGGAGGUCUUGGGAUCGUAAAACUCUGUUAUUAGUGAAGAACAAAUGUGGAAGUAACUGUGGACGUCUUGACGGUACCUAAUCAGAAAGCCACGGCUAACUACGUG
This 497-nucleotide ribosomal RNA is filed under the name uncultured bacterium. RNAcentral describes it as "partial 16S ribosomal RNA". It matches the Rfam family "Bacterial small subunit ribosomal RNA", at positions 28 to 507 of the family's 1533-position model. The record is from RNAcentral.